AAUAGAUACCCCGGUAGUCCACGCCGUAAACGAUGGGUGCUAGGUGUGGGAGGUGUCGACUCCUUCCGUGCCGUAGCUAACGCAUUAAGCACCCCGCCUGGGGAGUACGGCCGCAAGACUAAAACUCAAAGGAAUUGACGGGGCCCCGCACAAGCAGCGGAGCAUGUGGUUUAAUUCGAUGCAACGCAAAGAACCUUACCUAGACUUGACAUCUCCUGAAUUACUCUGUAAUGGAGGAAGCCACUUCGGUGGCAGGAAGACAGGUGGUGCAUGGUUGUCGUCAGCUCGUGUCGUGAGAUGUUGGGUUAAGUCCCGCAACGAGCGCAACCCUUAUUGUUAGUUGCUACCAUUUAGUUGAGCACUCUAGCGAGACUGCCCGGGUUAACCGGGGAGGAAGGUGGGGAUGACGUCAAAUCAUCAUGCCCCUUAUGUCUAGGGCUACACACGUGCUACAAUGGUCGGUACAAUGAGAUGCAACCUCGCGAGAGUGAGCAAAACUAUAAAACCGAUCUCAGUUCGGAUUGUAGGCUGAAA
This 534-nucleotide ribosomal RNA is filed under the name uncultured bacterium. RNAcentral's name for it is "bacterial SSU rRNA". It matches the Rfam family "Bacterial small subunit ribosomal RNA", at positions 777 to 1310 of the family's 1533-position model. The record is from RNAcentral.